This 754-nucleotide long non-coding RNA is filed under the name Malus domestica (apple). Its description in RNAcentral is "long non-coding RNA (MDOM_LNC015299)". The record is from RNAcentral. Lineage: Eukaryota; Viridiplantae; Streptophyta; Magnoliopsida; Rosales; Rosaceae.
ACUUUCUCUACUCCCAAAUUGGAAGAGAAUUCACACCACACCAAAGCCUUGAAGCCUCGAAACUCUAAAGCUUUCAAGCAAAUUCCGAAGAAUCAAGAAAGCCCUCUUCGUUCUUCGUCAAAAUCCUCCUUCAAGAUGAAGCCCCAACGGCCCUUGAAGAAACUUCCACUAAUUCAAGAUCAACCCCUGACGGACCUCGAAGAAAGUGUUCAUCGUUCAUCAUCCGUUCAUCCUAAAGAUCAAGCCCCGACGGCCCUUUGGAUCAACAACAACAAAUCUACCCAUUACAAAGAUAGAAUCAGAGGCUAAAUUUGUAGAAGAGAUUGUAACCCCUAAAUCAUUAAUACAAAUAUUAUUUUGUACACGUUGUUCUUGUUUCAGGAAUUUCCGUGUUCACAAUAUCGUGUCUUAUAUUUGAUGAACUUAUAAAUGUUGAGACUGAAUGUUUGAAACUAGACAACAGUUCAACAUAUUACAAAACUGUUCUAGUCACCAAAACCAAAUUUUUUUUUUCUUCAUUCCUUUACGAAAACCUAUGUUCUUGUAGAUUUUUUUUAUUAAACAAAUGAUAUUAUCUACAAGAGAGGGGGUGGACUUGGCCAUAUAAUAAGCUAGCAGUAAUGUGGUUCAAAUUUGCAUUUGGUGAAAAUCGAAUAUAAAACCUAUCACUUACAAAUAAAGAAAAAUAAUGAGUUGGACUAGCUAGGUCAAAAGGCUAAAAAAACUACUUUUGUUUUGUUUUUCUUUUUUUUUU